This 468-nucleotide ribosomal RNA is filed under the name uncultured bacterium. Its description in RNAcentral is "partial 16S ribosomal RNA". It matches the Rfam family "Bacterial small subunit ribosomal RNA", at positions 28 to 507 of the family's 1533-position model. The record is from RNAcentral.
GACGAACGCUGGCGGCGUGCUUAACACAUGCAAGUCGAACGGAAAGGCCCUGCUUUUGUGGGGUUCUCGAGUGGCGAACGGGUGUGUAACACGUGAGUAUCCUGCCCUUGACUUUGUGAUAACUUCAGGAAACUGGGGCUAAUACCGGAUAGGAGCUCCUGCUGCAUGGUGGUGGUUGGAAAGUUUCGGCGGUUGUGGAUGGACUCGCGGCUUAUCAGCUUGUUGGUGGGGUAGUGGCUUACCAAGGCUUUGACGGAUAGCCGGCCUGAGAGGGUGAACGGGGACAAGGGGACUGAGAGACGGACCAGACGGGUACGGGAGGCAGCAGUGGGGAAUAUGACACAGUGGGCGGAAGCCUGAGGCAGAAACGCCGGGUGCGGGAAGAAGUCCUUCGGGGGGUAAACAGCUGUCGCCUGUGACGAAGCGUGAGUGACGGUAAUGGGUAAAGAAGCACCGGCUAACUACGUG